Molecule: small RNA, 123 nt
Filed under: Marmota monax (woodchuck)
Lineage: Eukaryota; Metazoa; Chordata; Mammalia; Rodentia; Sciuridae
Source: RNAcentral
UCCGGGCAUACUGGCACAUGCCUGUAAUCCCAGUGGGUCAGGAGGCUGCGGCAGGAGGAUCGCCAGUUCAAAGCCACGGCAAUUUAGUGAGGCCCUAAGAAACUUGGCGAGAUCCUGUUUCAA